UGGGGAAUAUUGCGCAAUGGGCGAAAGCCUGACGCAGCAACGCCGCGUGGGGGAUGAAGGUUCUCGGAUUGUAAACCCCUUUCGAUCGGAACGAAUCCCCUCCUGGUAAAUAAUCAGGAGGAUCGACGGUACCGAGAGAAGAAGCCACGGCUAACUCUGUGCCAGCAGCCGCGGUAAGACAGAGGUGGCGAGCGUUGUUCGGAUUUAUUGGGCGUAAAGCGAACGCAGGCGGUUUGGUAAGUCAGAGGUGAAAGACCACAGCUUAACUGUGGCACUGCCUUUGAUACUGCCUUUCUUGAGUGCAUGAGGGGGAAGCGGAAUUCCGAGUGUAGAGGUGAAAUUCGUAGAUAUUCGGAGGAACACCGGUGGCGAAGGCGGCUUCCUGGCAUGUAACUGACGCUCAUGUUCGAAAGCGUGGGUAGCAAACA
Molecule: ribosomal RNA, 428 nt
Filed under: uncultured prokaryote
Description: bacterial SSU rRNA
Rfam family: Bacterial small subunit ribosomal RNA
Source: RNAcentral